CCCCCUCAAUACCCUCCUCCCCCCUCACCUCCUCUCCAUGGUAUCACCCUCCUCCCCCCCUCAUCACCCUCCUCCCCCCUCACCUACUCUCCAUGAUAUCACAUUUGAUCUUUGCAACAAUGAGACAAUAAUAAGGCAUCGAUACUGUUUAUUUUAGAGUAUAAUUAGUUCCAUUGCCGUUAUUUCUAUAGUUUGGAGUUGAUGAUUCUGAUUGAAUAUUGUCUGAUGGUUCGGAUGUGUUCAGAGCAUAAGGUCUGAAUCCUGCUGUGAUGACUCCUUCCCUUGGGGAAAAGACUGUCACGUGUUCCUUACACACAGACACAGUAAUGCCAAUAACUUUUUCACACUUCAACAGUUCCACUGUUCAGCUUGGUUUUAUAACUAUUUUAGUUCAUUUAAGUUUUAAAAAAUAUAUAUUUUUUAGUUCACAACACUGCAUAUUUUAGUAAUUCAAAUCCAGUGUACAAAACCAUUUCUGUUUUAUAUGUCUAAAUAUACAAGAGACAAAUAUAGUUGAUUUAUAGAUUUGAAGAACGUGCCACUUUAUUGUUGCAGAGGAGGAUGGAUGAGAUUUGUAAUAUUUUUUUCUGGUUGGUUGUAAUUAUAUUUAUACGUCGGAUCUUCUGCAGUUCCCCUUCUGCACUCGAAUGGCAACAUAUUCCCUAUGGAGUGCACUACUUUGUAUCCGGGCCUAUAGGACUCUGUUCAAAGGGAGUGCACUACUUUGUAUCAGGGCCUAUAGGACUCUGUUCAAACGGAGUGCACUACUUAGUAAGGAACAAGGUGCCGUUUCGGACCCAAACCCUGUCGCACUGUUGUCGCCCGACACACACGUGAAUGUUUUGGCUUUAAAAAAAGAGAUGCUUAGUUUUUGUUUUCUAUUGCUGAGAAGAGAAAAGAUAUAUUUAAAAAAUGUUUUCAGACCGAGGUUUGGUUUUUAGAAGUCUAUUUUACGACUAGUUGGUUUUGGGGUGUCCUGGGAACAGAAAGACAAAGGGAUAGGAUAGCACAUGUAAAAAGCAAUAAGCAGAUGCUUUUGUUUAAGGAUGUCUCCCAAAUGGCACCCUGCUUCCUAUCAAGCGCCCUACUUUUGACCACAUCCCCUAUGGGCCAUGGCACCCUAUUCCCUAAAUAGCCCUAUGGUCCCUGGUUAAAAGUAGUACACUAUAUAGGGAAAAUAGUGUCAUUUGGGAAACGGAAUAGUUUUAGUGUACAAACUGUAAUUACCAAAAUUAAGUUCUUUGUGUAUAUAGUGUAUGGUGUGUUUAUCGGGGGGUUGAAACCGGUUCAGGGAACAGAACCGAAAACUGGAAAAUAACAACAUUUUUCGAGGGAACGAGAACCGAGAAUGAAAGUGAUCUAUUCUGUUCCGGAACAGAACCAUUAUUUUAAAAGCAUGGGAACCGGUUAAUAAAAUGAUUUCAUGUUCAGGGCAUUUUUUUUUCCAGUCCCACAAAAAAAAGCGCAACAAAGCACCUAUUGUAUGCAAAGCCCUCACCUGUCACUCAGAAACGUAUUCCAGUGUCUGGCUUCCUGCUGCCUUCCUGCUGCCUUCCUGCUGCCUUCCUGCUGCCUUCCUGCCUCCUUCCUGCUGCCUUCCUGCCGCCUUCCUGCCAACUGAAAAUCUUUGCCAGUGUGUAGGCUAUCUGCCCUUCCCCCUCCCUCCAAAGCAUAAUCUACUGUAGCUACUGACGUUACAGGCAGGCGUGAUUCAGAAAUUAAAGGGAAAAUAUUUUUUAUUAGAGAACAGUGGAUUCAUUUUUUUCAAUGCUAGUUAAGGAUACUAUAGUUAUUACAUUUCACAUUGGAUUUAUUAUUAAAAUGUUUUUUUUUUAUGCUGGUGCUGCUCUGCACACACGAGCUUGUUAGCUAGCUAGCUAGCAGGUGCUUCCAGAAACCCAGCCUAAACAGAAACCGAAGCCCUUCCUCUGUAGGCUUCAUGCCCAGCCCUCUCUUCACCCACAACAUUUCAGUUGCAUGUUGCACCCUACACUACACUUGUCUGUCCAAUGUAUUUAUACUGAACAAAAAUAUAAACGCUACAUUCAACAAUUUUAUCGAUUUUACGGAGUUACAGUUCCACAUGAGGAAAUCAGUCAAUUUAAAUAAAUUCAUUAGGCCCUAAUCUAUGGAUUUCACAUGACUGGGAAUACAGAUAUGCAUCUGUUGGUCACAGAUACCUUAAAAAAAAGGGCCUCACAAUGGGCCUCAGGAACCCGUCACUGUAUUUUUGUGCAUUCAAAUUGCCAUAGAUAAAAUGCAAUUGUGUUCAUUGCCCGUAGUUUAUGCCUGCCCAUACCAUAAUCCCACCGCCACCAUGGGGCACUCUGGCCUUUUAUUGUCCCCAGCACAAGGUGCACCUGUGUAAUGAUAAUGCUGUUUAAUCAGAUUUUUCAUAUGCCACACCUGUCAGGUGAAUGGAUUAUCUUGGCAAAGGAUAAAUGCUCACUAACAGGGAUGGAAACAAAUUUGUGCACAAAAUUUGAGAGAAAUACGUUUUUUUUUGUGAGUAUGGACAUUUUCAGAUAUCUUUUAUUUCAGCUCAUGAAACAUGGGACCAACACUUUACAUGUUGCGUUUUAUAUUUUUGUUCAGUGUACAUUCUGUAGCAGGCCUGCUCCAUAGCAAGCUCCUCUAUCCAUUGGUGAAGUCAUUUAAUGUUGAGCUAAAUUAAAAAAUAAAUGUUGAUUUCAGAGGUUUAAAAAGGAACAGAAAGGAACGAUAUAAAACGUAACUUUUUGAGGGGGGGUUCGAACCGGUUCAGAACUUUAUAUUGCUGGUCGGAACAGUGGGACGGAAUGGAAAACAAAGAAUGGUUCUGUUCAGAACGAACGAUUGGAAAAUUAUUUGGGUUCCAACCCCUGGUAUAAACUGGUACCGCGGUACAGUUGGUAUUAGUGCUGAGCGAUUAGUGCUUUUUGAGGUUGGUUCGGUUAGAUUAUAUGGAGAGAAAAAAAAAUCAGUUUUGGAUUUCCCUUUUGAUAAUCUUUUAUAGACAUUAAAUGCACUAUGGAUUAUUAUUAUUGUGUGUUGAAUGCUGUUAACCAUCAGUUAUUCAUAUUAUUUUACUUUAAUAAAAGAUUUAAAUUGUUCUGUAUAUUACAUUGGUUUUAUUUGAUAACUUUAUUAUUUCAUUCCAAGUCAUCAUCUCAUCUCUAUAGAGCUGUUGUAGCCUGUUGUCUGACAAAAUCACUAUUUUUGUAGCUCUUAAAAGUAAAUAAGGCAUACUUUUAAAAAACAUAAUUCAAUAUAUUGUUUUCCAGUUUCAGGACCUGCUAUGCGCUUGCGCGGCAUUAAAGUAUGUUAUGGGUCUAAUCAUAAAACUACAUAUAGAAUCCCCUUUUAAUUCAAUAGGAUCUCUGUGGGCCUAGUAAAGACUUUUUAUUGUGGCAUAAACACAACCAAUCAUGAUGUUUUUUUCAAUUGGAUUUGUCAAACAGUCACUUCAAAGGACAACUUUACUAGGCUACCCGCGCAAGUUCACCCCCACCCCCCAAACAGGUGAAUGGAAAAAGACUUCUGUUACACAAAACAACACGUCUAAUUUGCCGACUGUAAUUAGGGCAGAGCGCUCUUCUCUGUCGGCCACACAUCUCUGCCUUGGCAAAAUCCCUGUGUUCUUGUCAAACCGCAUUGUAUUUUGGAGUGUAAACUAUGACUACCCGUUUUCAAAUCCAUUUGCUCAUUUUUCAUGCCUCUGAUGUAACGAUAAAUAUUGGUAUGACGUUUUAAUUACUGUGAUAGGCUCAUGUUUUACCGGUACUGCGUACACCCACUAUUUAUUUUGCUGGGACGUCGUACCGGAGCGCCUUACUUUCACCCCUGCUUUUAUAACUACUGAGUAACAACUAUUAAUCACUUAGAUUAUGUAUUUUCAGGUAGAGAUACCUCGCAAAGAAACUGUUUUCUAUCCCCCUCUGUGUCUGCGCCACCACAGACUGGACAAGUAGGCGGGCGCGCAAUGGAUUAUGGUCAUUGUAGUUAAUUACUACGUUCUCUGCACUAAACUAUAGAAUAUUGGCCUGUUGGAAACUACAACUCCCUACUACAGUACAUCGCACAGGUCGGACAUGAGCUGAUUUAUCUCUAGAGAAACUGCAUCGAGUUCACGGGGGGGAAAUGAAGAAAGAAAAAAAAUGGUAUUCAAAUAAUUGAACCGACGUUGGUGAAUUAGUAAAAAAAAGAAUAAUAAUUUAGAUUUUGGUUAAUCGCUCAGCACUUGUGUAUAUACUGUACCACAGUACUGUAGUACACAGUACAGAGAGAAGAGGAUUGGAGGGUCUAGGAUAUAUAUCCAUAACAGGCUACUACUUACUACAUUAUACUUAGAGUUGAUGAUAUUACAAUAUUUAUAUCCCCUUUGUUUUAUAUGAUGUUAAAUAAAUGUUAUUGUUCUUACACAUUGAUGUGUGGGUGUGGUGAUUGAUAAGAGUGGAAUGACUGGAUGCUACUCCAUAUUAUAAACUAGAAAAUAUGUUUUAUUGACAAUGAUCAUAGUAUUUCCCCCAUCCCAAAAUACUUUAUAUUGGCC
RNAcentral lists this long non-coding RNA (4531 nucleotides) under Salmo salar (Atlantic salmon). RNAcentral's name for it is "lncRNA (ENSSSAG00000120030.1)". Lineage: Eukaryota; Metazoa; Chordata; Actinopteri; Salmoniformes; Salmonidae. The record is from RNAcentral.